GGUAUGUAGAAUAAUUCCCUCAUAACGGGCCAGCUGAAUGAUUACAUUUCUUCCUGGUCGUAUUGAGGGAGAGAAAAAUGUUUUUC
RNAcentral lists this microRNA precursor (86 nucleotides) under Branchiostoma floridae (Florida lancelet). RNAcentral's name for it is "mir-4899 microRNA precursor family". It matches the Rfam family "mir-4899 microRNA precursor family". The record is from Rfam by way of RNAcentral. Lineage: Eukaryota; Metazoa; Chordata; Leptocardii; Amphioxiformes; Branchiostomatidae.